RNAcentral lists this ribosomal RNA (460 nucleotides) under uncultured bacterium. RNAcentral describes it as "partial 16S ribosomal RNA". It matches the Rfam family "Bacterial small subunit ribosomal RNA", at positions 338 to 795 of the family's 1533-position model. The record is from RNAcentral.
CCUACGGGUGGCAGCAGUGAGGAAUAUUGGUCAAUGGACGAGAGUCUGAACCAGCCAAGUCGCGUGAAGGAUGACUGCCCUAUGGUUUGUAAACUUCUUUUAUAUGGGAAUAAAAUGUUUCACGUGUGGGAUUUUGUAUGUACCAUAUGAAUAAGGAUCGGCUAACUCCGUGCCAGCAGCCGCGGUAAUACGGAGGAUCCGAGCGUUAUCCGGAUUUAUUGGGUUUAAAGGGAGCGUAGGUGGGUUGUUCAGUCAGUUGUGAAAAUUUGCGGCUCAACCGUAAAAUUGCAGUUGAAACUGGCAGGCUUGAGUACAGUAGAGGUGGGCGGAAUUCGUGGUGUAGCGGUGAAAUGCUUAGAUAUCACGAAGAACUCCGAUUGCGAAGGCAGCUCACUGGACUGCAACUGACACUGAGGCUCGAAAGUGUGGGUAUCAAACAGGAUUAGAUACCCUAGUAGUC